CUCAAGAGACCCUCCCACCUAAGCCUCUCAGAGUGCUGGGAUUACAGGUGUGAGCCACUGCACCUGGCCAACUUCUCCCUUCUCUUGAAUCCUUGCUGCCUCACGACAGGUGUCAGAGCGGCACCACCACACCGCAAAGUGAAGAGAUGAUGCCGUGCCUGGGAGGGUGGCUGGAGAGUCCCCCAUCACUGCUAGUAUGGGAACGGUGAUGGUAUGCAGAGAGGAGGUGUGGUUAGAAGGGUAAGUGGGUAUUUGGAGGUGAGGGGAAGGGUGCUACCUGGGAAUCUCCUGGGCCUGCCUAAAAGGGUUGUGUAACCAGAGUCCUGGGACCGGGGUGGGCUUUGCAGUCAGACAUGCUGUUGUGAGAGAGACGAAAGGGUUACACUGCGGUUCUCACUGCCUGCCUGAAGUGACAGCCGAAGGCUGAGCAGACCUCCGGGAAGUGGUCAUGAGGAUCUGGCUCGAUCUGCUGAAAAUAUAAUCUAGGCCAUCAGAAAAGAGGAGGGAAGAGCUGGAGCUGUGAAGAAAGAUGAGAUCACUGAGAGCUGCUGAGUCCCAAAGAAUCAAAACGAAGCCCUGCUCUGAGGCUUGUGGCACCAGGAGGACCUCUUUCUCUGGAAGUUCCCUUACCUGAUUAAGAACACUUCUAAAAUAAAUGCAGCCGUCUUAAAGCCCCCUCCCUAUGAAUCUCAUUAAAUAACCAGGAAUGAUUAAUCACCCAAGAAAAGACUGAAAAAGAAGCUACAGCCAGGAUACCAUACCCAGACAGACUUUUCGUCUUUUCUUCUGAGGGAGGUUCCAAGAGAUAACCUGGGAGACUGUAUCUGCAUAAUAAGACAACCUUAGUUCACAGUGCAGUACCACCCCUCACCUUCCAUGACUUGUCCACAAGCUAUUGUUUGUCCUUCAGUCCCAUUCAGCAUCCAAAGAGAACCAUUUGCAAACCACUGUCAGGUAUUUGGGUCCAUUCAUUUACAGCCCCCCAGCUCCCUUUCCCUAGUGAAGAGAGUAUUUAAGUGCCAACCAUUGGGCCUUUCUGUGUAUGUUCAUAUUUUUUAUAUGGCUUCCCUGCUUCAUGCAUGUUAAUAAAUUUGUUAUGAUUUUCUCUUGUUAA
RNAcentral lists this long non-coding RNA (1114 nucleotides) under Homo sapiens (human). RNAcentral describes it as "HSALNT0345685". The record is from RNAcentral. Lineage: Eukaryota; Metazoa; Chordata; Mammalia; Primates; Hominidae.